GGAGAUGGCUUGGUGGUAGAGCAUCUGCUUUGCAUGUAGAAGGUCCCCGGUUCAAUCCCCAGUGUCUCCU
This is a non-coding RNA of Podarcis lilfordi (Lilford's wall lizard), 70 nucleotides long. The record is from the annotation of a GenBank genome assembly. Lineage: Eukaryota; Metazoa; Chordata; Lepidosauria; Squamata; Lacertidae.